This 355-nucleotide long non-coding RNA is filed under the name Homo sapiens (human). Its description in RNAcentral is "non-protein coding lnc-TRUB2-5:1". The record is from RNAcentral. Lineage: Eukaryota; Metazoa; Chordata; Mammalia; Primates; Hominidae.
GCUACUCCAGAUCUGGGCUGAGGUGGGAGAAUCAUUUGAACCCAGGAGGUGGAGGUUGCAGUGAGCUGAAAUCACACGACUGUACUCUAGCCUGGGUGACAGGGUGAGACCCUAUCUCAAAACAAACAAACAAAAACCCCACCAGCAACCUUGCUGACAAAUCCACAGGCCCCCACGUCUGCCAAUUGCCUGCCUGUAUGAACUGGGCACCUGGGGGAGGGGCGUGGCCCCCAGGCUACUCAUCUUGGCUUUCACAGCCAAAGGGCCUGGGUGGAACCUCAGCUUACUGUGUUUACUGACUGGGUAAUGUGGCCUCUGAAGCUGUCACCUAUCUAUAAAAUGGGGAUUAAAACGA